ACAGGGUUUUGCACUGUCCAGCUCAAAAAUUUUCUUCUCAGGGUCUAGAUAAUAAGGGUCCACACGCAGCCUCACUCCAAGCACUUCAUAGCCAUUCAUCUCCUCAAUAGCUGCUCGACAAGGUCCAUCGGUGUCAAAUUGAACAAAGCCAUAGUCAGUUGAUUGACCAUCAGGACGUCUUGGGAUAUUGAUAUACCAAAUCUUUCCGUAUUUGAAAAAUAGGUAUUCCAAAAGUUCAAUGUCAGCCCGGUCUGGCAAGUUCUGCAAAGAGGUGAGGAUUAAGAAAAAAAAAAAGAAGGGCAAAGGAAUUCCAAGAAAUAGUUAGAAAAACUCACAAAGGCUACAAAGUUUUGAAAAAGUAAAAGAAAUGAAAAAGGAAAGUACAGUACCCUUACAAACAACGUGUCAGGAACAAGCCCAGACAUUUUAGUACAUGGAUGACAAUCCAUCAUUUGGAUAGGCCUUCCGUGGAGGGUAGCAGAGGCCAGCUUGUUCAUUGCCAAAUCAGCUGUUAUCAUUAUGGUAAAAAAGUAGGGAAAAAAUAAUUACACAUAGUACUUUGAAGGAUUGGAAUAAAACUAAAUACUAUGACAAAAACAUGCUUUGCUAUUGCAAGCAAUCUCUUAUGCUUUUGAAGAGAAUUGCAAAAUGAAACAUAAUAUAAAAGCAAAGCACAGAUCUGAACUGCAAAUAGGAAAACAAUAUUCAAGGAAAAAAGCCAUGGUCAACAAGCUGCAUAUGGAAUAAAUAUCUUUUUAGAGCUGUUCUUUCAUACCUUAAAUCAAUCCUUAUGUUAAAAUGGAAGAAAACAAGGAAAGUGGGAAUGCACAAGCUCCGAAGGGGAUUAAGAAGGCGAGGAUUGAACUCUCGUUCCAAUGGACCAGGCGAUAUUCAAUAAAACAGAAGCCACAUUGAACCCACCCCGCACACAAUAAUCGGUUCCCACACGUCAAAAUAAUGUUGUAACAGUUAUCAUAGAUGAUAUAUUUUGGUUAAAUGAAAAAUGCUCCUUAUACGUUAACCAUUGAUCACCUUGAUCAAGGAUCUCUCUGACAAGGGGAAAAAACUUAAAUUGCCAUGUGAUCCCAUUCUAAGGAGGCACCACUGAAAGAAGAAACUUAAAUAUUUCAUCACUCUUAGAUACUGAGUCAAAAGACAGACACUUGCAUGACAACAAAUUCCUGGCACGUACUAAAUCAAGGAAGGUCCCAACUACAGCUCGCCUAUAUGCAAGAAUAAUCGGGACUCAUUUCCAAUUUCUGACUUCAAAAAGAGAAACAGGUAUUCGCUCUUCAACAAAAGUCCUAGUACGAUAAUUCAUUCCUCAAAAAUCCUAAUCUAUUUCCACAAACGACAGACAUGGAUCAACAGUUGGCAAUCACUCGUUCAUGACACAAUUGGUCUGCUUUAAAAACGCCAAAGAUGGGGGAAAAGGGUUAAACAGAAGUUUAUCUAAAUAGAUUUGCAACAAGAGACAUGAACAAUCAGAAAUUCCUCAAAGGCCAACCUUAUAAUGAAUUUUGCAACUACAGAUAUGAAUCACACGAAGCAGCUAUAAAGCAAAGGAAAAAAAUUUCAUCAACAGCAGGAUGUCAACAAAACUGACCAUGUUCUUUCUUCGCAAAGGAAACCAGGGCAUAGCGGCCAAUUAUGGAGUCACAGAAAAUCUCAGUCCUAAUCGCGACACACACGCGGAAGAGGCGAUGAACAUCCGCUCCCGUCACGGUAUCGGCCAAAGUCCAAACAUAAAGCGCCGGCAGCCCAGAACCAGACGAUCGAAGACCAGUCAUCUUCUGCUGCAGUCGAUCUCCUCCCCGAUAUCUACUCGGUUGGUUUGUGUACUCGUUUUGAACCAAUCCCUAAUUCUCUCGUUUCUAUUCUUCUACAGGAUUCCUAUUCUAUGUUAGUACGCUGUUUUGGGGUUCGACUUAUAGAGUUAUAGGAAAAUCGCAUACCGACGGAGAGGGACGGGAAUUGGGCUUCAAAAAGCAUAUAAAAUCUAGGUCAAUGCUUUAAUAGCUAGUUUGGGAGUUUAGGUUAGAAAAGAAAAGAAAAGAAACCUUAAGUUAUGAAAGAAAAGAAAGGAUGGGAAAAGAAAAGGUGAGAUGUUGAUGUUGUUUGGGAGUUUAGAUAAGAAAUGGAAUGAUUUGGGAUAUAUAUGUCAAUAAAAAUUUGUUCAAUACCCAUUUGAGGAUAAAAUGGACAUUUUUAAAAAUUUUGUUAGGCUUUCUCAAGUUUCCUUUGCUUUCCGGCCACAUUUGGGCGGAAAAGUAUAACAAUUAUGGCAGCAACAUACCAUCCAUCCAAAUCCUUUGAUUUCCUUUCUUUUCCAUCUCUUAAAAAGUCCCAAAUGGCAGAAGGAAAGUUUUUGUUCUCCUUUCCUUUCUUUUCUUAUCAAAUCCGAUCAUCCAAACUAGCUAUUAGUAACUAUAGUUUUGGUAACGAAAUAGUUUUUACUAAUAUAACAGGUUGUUACAUUUUUUACGAUUAUUUGAUUUUUUGUUGGACCUAUUCACCUAAAAAUAUGAAAGUAAAAUUUUCUUAUCUAAAAUAGUAUGUUAAACUUAAUAGAUUAGUAACUUUUAUACCUCAAAAAAUAAAUUGAAAUAAAUAUUAAAGUUAAUUUUUAAAUAAAUAAAUUAGUACUUUAUAUCCCAAACUUACUUUUUAAAUAGUAAGGCCCCAUUUGAAACCUGAAUUUUUUGAAAAUUUAUCUAAAACUUUACUAUAGUGCACCGUAGAAGUUUUUGUAAAAAUUUUUUAAAAUAAAAAACUUUUUUUCCUUUUCUUUUUUUUUUUUUCUUUUCUAUCCUCUCUUCUUCUUCUUUUCUUCCUUCCCCCUCCCCCGUCACCUGUGUUCCGACAUUGAAGAACCAACAAAUGGUCCAAAUUUGCUUUAAGUUUUCCUUUUUUUCUUUCUUUUUCUUUCCUCUCUUCUUCUUCUUUUUCUUCCUUCCCCCUUCCCCGUCACCUCUGCCUCUAGCUUUGAAGAACCAGCCGCCAUGAUGAAGCCAAUUUUUUUUCUUUUUCUUUCUCUCUUCUCCCUCUGCCUCUCCCCCUCUACUCCCUUUCACCCUCCCCCUCUCCUUCCCGAAGCCAAAGAACCGGCAGCCAUGGUUUUAGAAAAGAAGAAAGUUUCCAGUAAAAUUUCUCGCUUCCCCCUUCCCCUCUCCCUCUCCCUCUCCAUAAUUUAUGUCUUCCACUAAAUUCUCAGGGUGAAGCGGGAACAAGUUGAGCUGCGGGUGACCGCCGGCGGGCGUGUCGCUAGAUUGAUCUUAGGCUUUCUCAUCACAUGAAAACUGAGGACGGAGACUAAGAUACUUGGGCUUUCUAGUCUUCCUCCGGGUUUUUCUACGAGAUUUCCUGGUUAUUUUUUGAUUAUGGAAGCUGAUGAAGCGGUCUUAGUUCUAGCAGUAGCAGUAGUAGUACGAGUUCUGUCUCCGGUUCCACCACCAAAAGAGGGGUUGUAGAUCGGUCAAAGGGGGAGGGGGAGAAAGGAAAAAAAAAAUGUCGGAAGCAGCGCCAGAGAUGGUGACAGGCGAUGAAAGUGUGGUGGAUCGGGGUGGGGGAGAAAGAAGAAGAAAAGAGAAAGUUUUUUGUGUAUUAGAUAUUUUAAAGUGUGUAGGUUAAAAAGUAUGAUAAGUUUUUUUGGAUUCAUGUAACUAAAGUUGUUAAAAAACUAAUAGCUAAAAAAUUUGGCCAAAAACUUGGGUUCCAAACAGGCAAUAAGUUUAGUUCAAAUAACAAUAAGUUUUUAUAUAUAAACAGUAAUUUUUACUAAUAAUAUGGUAAAUUUGAUUAAGAAUUUUUGGAAUACAUGUACAAUUUUAUAUUAAAACCUUAUCUCAAACUAGUAUUAGGAAAUUUAUUUAAAAUAAUGAUAAGAUGUUUUAUUAAUGAUUAAAACUUAGUACCUUAGUUAUUAAGUAUUCAUAAUAUAUCUAUAUAAUAAAUGAUUAUAGGUAUAAUUUAAAUUUUUUUUGUAUCUAUAUAUUUUAAAAGUAGUUUUACUUUUCAGAUAACCUUAUAAAAUAUGUAAUAAAAUUUUGUCUUAUUAUAAGAUUUUAAUCAUUUUCAAUUUUUGAAAAGUUUGAAAGUUUGGAUAACAAUAACAACAAAUCUUCCUAGUUACAUGUAGAAUAUCACUUGUUUCUAUAUCACAAUUUUUAUAAUUUAACACCUAUGAAUAUAAUAAGAUAAUAAAGUUUUAAUAAAUUUACAUCUAAGACAUAAGAAUUAAUAAGAGUUAAAACCCAAACAAAAUGAGAAAUAGUAUAACAAUAAAAAUGACAAAAUUGGCAUAACGGUUAAUAUAAGAAAAUCAGUAUGAUUUGGUCUUUUUUCCUUGAGAGAUUGUUUAUAAAAAUGAGAUCCAACAAUAAAAUGAAAAUCACUUGCACAUAUAAUCUAUUGUAUAAUUUAAAUUAAAUUCAGUUCACGUAUAAAACGGUCCUAAAAUAAUUAACACACUGUGAUGCAAUGUUAUUUUAAUAACAAAUAUUUUUUACUGAAAGUCUCAAAUAUCCAUGCCAUACAUAUAAGGGAUAUUUUACCAUAUUUGUUUCCAAUUGAGUGCACAAAUUUCGUUGCCGAAAAUUAAAGACAUGAAAACUUGCAUAAAUAUCAAAUUUAUUAAAUCAAAUAAUAAGAGAGUUACAAUCUCUAAAAAUUCUUUUUUUCUUUUGAUAAUUACAAUCGCUAAAAAUUAUUGAAUCAAAGAAAUUAAUCCCCUAAUUCUUCUCUUCAAAAGCACUCAUAAUUAAAGCAUAAUAAAAUCAAGUUUUUUUUAACCUUUUAAUGUAGUAGUUAUGCUUACUAAAAAAAUUAGUAAACCAUUCCUACAAUGCAUUGCUUCUCCUAAAAGUACUAAUAUUUUGUAAAUAAGUUGAAAUAAUUUUGUAAAAGAUUUUAUGCAUUUUCACUAAUAGGGUUAAUCACAUUUUAUCCCUUUAAAAAAUACCCCAGUUCUCGGUUUACCCCCUAACCUUUAAUUUUACUCACUUAACCCCUUUUAAGAUAAAAUUGCUCUUGCAUUAUUUUAACUUUUCAUUUACCUUGUUUUUCUUUCUUUUAUUUCUUUUUUCUCUUUCUAUUUUAUUUAAUUAUUCCUCUUUCGCACAAAAAAUUUCACCUUAAUUAUUGAAAUUAAAAAACAUGAAUUAUAGAGAUCUAUCUUUUCCUUAAAUGAUUAAAAAAAUAUUCAAAUCAUUUUCCUAAAAUACAAUUUUUUUAGCCUUUCAAUUAUUUUAAUUUUCGAUUUUUCUCUUUCCUUUCUAGUUUUUUAUUUUAUUCUCAAUAAAAUAUCAUAAGAUGAAAUUGUUUUCCUUUUUUUUAUUUCUCUUUCUCUUUCUUCUCUCUUUCAUCUUUCUCAAUAGAAAUUCCAUUUCAACGAAAAUUUUUGUUUUGAACUUGUAAUUGCAUAUUUUUGGGUGAAGGUUUAAAAGGCAUCAAAACUAAUUUUGAUUUUUUGUAUGAUGCAACGUGUCAAAUAUAUAGUGGUGGGCCACAUGAGCCAAGCAAGCAAACCUUUUAACCAGUUGAGACAGGGGUAUGUUACCGGCAAAAAAAAUUGUUGUGGGACCUCUUGAAAUUAAUAAUGUAUUCAGUAAGACCUUCUCUUGGUGCCAAAGAAAUGCAAUGACGCGAAAUAUUUCCAAAUUGCCCGCGUGCCAAUGGUCAGGAGGGAUAUUUGUAAUCAAAACUUGGGCGUUAUUUGAUAGUUUUCGGAUGCCUAAAAGGCGUGGUCUAUCAUUUUGGCAAAUGGCGUGCUUUAAUUUUGUCAAAACCACACGCUUUUAAGUUAUUUAUGAUUAAUUGAUGUAGGUGAGAUUAUAUUAGCAACUUUAAUCAACUAUGUUCGACUUAGUUGACCAUGAACAAUCAUAUAAAUAGUCCUUGUUAACAGUUGUAUAAAUAGGCAUAAGUAGUUAUAACGUUGGAAUCCACUAUCUGAUUAAUGACUAUUAUGAGUUAUUAUAUUCUUAGUCCAAAAACAAAUUGAGAGAUAAAAAUGAUCCAUAUCUACCACCAUCUUAUGAGCUAGCAUCAAGGAAUCGAUAAUUAGAUUAGACCCUUAAUUAGUUAUAAUCGUCGGAAUUGACAAUCCAAUUUAAUUGUUAUAAUGAGUUGUUAUCAUCUUAGCCCAUGGAGGAAUUGGGAAAUUCAUAACAAGAUGAUCCAUUUCUACAACCGUCUACUUAUGAGUUAGCACCAAGGAAUCUAUAAUCAAAUUAGAGACUUAAUUAGUUAUAAUCAUCGGAAUCGACUAUCUGAUUAAUCGCUAUAAUCAGCUAUUAUUGUCAUAGUGUUACAAUGCAUUAAGAAAUGCAUAACGAAAUGAUCCAUAUCUAUUACCGUUUUGUUAUGAGCUAGCAACAAAGAAUCGACUAUCGGAUUGAACGCAUAAUUACGUGGUAUUUGGUAAAAGGAUUUUGGUAUAGAGAAUUGGAAUAAACCUCAUAAUCAUUGUUUAAAUUACUGCUAUUGGAAUUGAAAAUUUGAAAUUAUAUCUAAAAAUGCAAUGGCAUUUCCCAAUUCCCUUGUAACUUGGAAGGUUUAGAUAAAAGCUAAGCUUGAUUCCCUUUUAAAAACGGAGCUCGUCCCACUACUCGUUAAAAAAAUUAAUAUAUAAUAAAUAUAAAUGUAAUUAUAUUUAUAAUUAUUAUAUACACAUACAAUAUAUUAUAUAAAUAUAUAUUAUAAGUUUAUUAAUAUUAAAUAAUAAUAUAUUUAUAUUAUUUAAUUAAAUUCAUAAUGAGAGGAAUUAUCAUCUUAGGAGGUUUAAUCUUUAUUGCCUUAUUUUCUUUCACCUUAGGAGUUUUAAUCUUUAUUAUCUUAUUUCGUUUACAUGUAUAUUAGAUCUGGAAGCCGUUUCAUUGAAUGUGAAUUAGUAACGGUACUACUUUUCAUUACAUGUGUACCGUGUACUUAGAUGUAUCAAAAUGGAUUAUUUGGACAGAUUUGGGUUAGAUAAAAUGAAUAAUGGAUAUAAGUGAGUCAACCCAUUAUAUCCAUUUAAAAUUGUCCCAAAAUCAUCCACCCAAGUUCAAAUUAAACCCCCAUCAUUGUGUGCACCGGCACCAUACAACCAAACCUGCAACUCUACGAGCCCCCAAUCCAUGGGAACACAGUUCCACGGCUUUGUGCCAGAAAAUGCGGCUUAGCUUCACUAAAAGUUAUAAAGUACUUAUAUAUUAUUUUAAAUAGCAUCUAAUAUAACAGGAUCCAUCCAUAAAACUUGGACUGCAAACGAGCCCAGCCGAGUCGAGUUUUGAGCUAAUCGAGUCGAGUCUCGACUAAAUUUUACCAAACUCGAGCUCGACGAGCCGGCAAAUUUCGAGCUCGAGUUCGACUCGAAUCAAGUCGAGCCGAGCUCGAGCUCGAUUAAUAUCGAGCUCGACUUGAGCCGCUCGCGAACGGCUCGAUUCGUUUGCAACCCUACAUAAAACCAACAUGCGAUAUUAAAAUCCUAGAACAUAACAGAACAAUGCAUGUCCUACUAUAAACAACUGAGAAAGCUCCAAUUACAGUGUUUCUUAGUGCAAUAAUCCACACCAUUCCCUCGCUCAGAAAGCCAUUAGGAAAACAUGCUAUCAGUCAAGGGUAACGAUGCCAACCGAUCAGCAACAUGGCUUGAAAGCUCUUCAAUCAAAACAUUCCCCAUGGGCGGCAAUGCAUCUGUCCCACAAUCAGUAAACGCACCAGCAGCAUCCACUUUCGCAAUCUGCUGCAGCAAUUUUCCCUGCACCAUAUGAAUUUGAUUCCCUUGCUCAAACACAAGAUUUUGAAUGUUUUUAAAAAAUUAUCUAUAAUUUUGCCCACUAAUUCCUGCUUCACCCUCCUUGUCAUUCUCAAGCUAGAGGAACACACAGUACUUAUUUUGAACCCUCCAACUCAACUCUUCUUCUAAUUUCUUUAAAGUGGUUUCUUCCAUGUUCCAUCUAAUGACCAAGAAUAUGCAGAAGAUGCUACUCAACAUUUGGCAAGAAUUGAGUAAAAGGACAUGCAUGUAUCUUGUCAUACAGAAGCUCUACCUUUUUCACCUUUUCUCUCUUACUACAUGAGGCUGCCUGAUGAUGAAAGGGUGGUUAAGUAACAGCAACAACUUCGACUUUUACAGACCAAGAAAUAAUUAGCAAAAUUCACUGUCAACGGAGUAUUCUCCUCCAUUCUUUUAGACUUUUCUGUUAGUGUGAUUCUUUCCGAUGAUUUUGCAUUGCAAUGAAUUGCAAAAAAAGAAAUCAUUGACUCGACAAAGUAUAUGUUGAACCUUUAACUUCUACAAGAAUAUUUCCAAGAGAAAUUUGGAUUUGUGUUCCAAACAAUUUAAGGUAAAAAAAGAAAUUAGAAUAAAGAGAGACAUUCACCAGACUUUCAGAAUACAGCACUUACUAUUGCAAGGAAAAGAAAAUGAAUCCAUACACGAUCACAUAGAUGCGUGAUUUUCAGUCAACAAAGAGACAGGAUACAGACCUUGCUUGCACCCGUGUUUAUCUGUUGAGCAAGCACAUUCCGAACAGCACAAACCACGUCAGCUGCAUCUUGUGAAUAACCAUCACAGGGUUUUGCACUGUCCAGCCCAAAAAUUUUCUUCUCAGGGUCUAGAUAAUAAGGGUCCACACGCAGGCUCACUCCAAGCGCUUCAUACCCAUUCAUCUCCUCAAUAGCUGCUCGACAAGGUUCAUCACUGUCAAAUUGAACAAAGCCAUAGUCGGCUGAUUGACCAUCAGGACGUCUUGGGAUAUUGAUAUACCAAAUCUUUCCGUAUUUGAAAAAUAGGAAUUCCAAAAGUUCAAUGUCAGC
RNAcentral lists this long non-coding RNA (8802 nucleotides) under Coffea arabica (coffee). RNAcentral's name for it is "long non-coding RNA (CARA_LNC004008)". The record is from RNAcentral. Lineage: Eukaryota; Viridiplantae; Streptophyta; Magnoliopsida; Gentianales; Rubiaceae.